UACGUAGGAGGCGAGCGUUUGUCCGGAAUUACUGGGCGUAAAGAGCGCGUAGGCGGCGCUGUACGACCCGUGUGAAAGCCCCCCGGCUCAACUGGGGAGGGUCACGGGUAACGGCAGUGCUCUGAGUGCAGGAGAGGGAAGUGGAACUCCGGGAGUAGCGGUGAAAUGCGUAGAGACCCGGAGGAACACCGGUGGCGAAGGCGGCUUCCUGGUCUGCAACUGACGCUGUGGCGCGAAAGCUAGGGGAGCAAACGGGGAGUUAGAAAACCCC
RNAcentral lists this ribosomal RNA (271 nucleotides) under uncultured bacterium. RNAcentral describes it as "partial 16S ribosomal RNA". It matches the Rfam family "Bacterial small subunit ribosomal RNA", at positions 524 to 788 of the family's 1533-position model. The record is from RNAcentral.